UUACCACUAGCCCUUGCCUGUGAAAAUUAUCAUCCAUAGCAAUCAAAUUAAUCAACAAUUACAAUCCACAAUACCAAAUGAAUAAAAGAAUCAAAUCUUGAAAAUUUCCCAGACAAGGGUUAGAUCCAGAGGGUCCAAAAAUGAAAUGGGAAAGUUGAAAAUGAGAGAAAAAAUAAAAAUGAAAUUUAGUCAAAUUCAAACUGAUCCCUCAAAAAACAAAAAAUGAAACCCUGAGAAUUGAAAAGAGGGCAAAAGGGUGAGGUACAAAACAACUCAUUAGGAAUAGUUAUAGCCAUAGAAACCAACCGAAAUUAAAGGGCAUAUUUUAUUUAUUCCAUAUACCUGAUAAAUAAAUAAAGAAAAUUUCUUCGGCUUCUUUCUUCUUCUUCUUGAGUAAUGAGGAAAUACAGUGAAGAAACAGUUAAGCAGACAGGUAAUGACAGAGAACAAUGUGUGUGUGUGUGUGAGAGAGAGAGAGAGAGAAUUGUUUGAGUCUGUUCUCUGUUGUCUGUUUUGUUACGUUGAGAAUGAGGAUUGAGGAAAGGGUGCUCCAGGGGGCCGAGGGUUAUGAUUGAGAAUAUAAGAAAUAUCUGUGUAUAUUUAGCUGUCAGUGAAGGUUAUUUUAU
RNAcentral lists this long non-coding RNA (626 nucleotides) under Nicotiana benthamiana. Its description in RNAcentral is "long non-coding RNA (NBEN_LNC034793)". The record is from RNAcentral. Lineage: Eukaryota; Viridiplantae; Streptophyta; Magnoliopsida; Solanales; Solanaceae.